Zonotrichia leucophrys gambelii is the source of this 2599-nucleotide long non-coding RNA. RefSeq lists it as uncharacterized. The transcript is spliced from 5 exons. Lineage: Eukaryota; Metazoa; Chordata; Aves; Passeriformes; Passerellidae. The record is from RefSeq and is a predicted model, not a curated record.
CUGAGUUCUGGUUGAUGGAAAUCAAGAAGGGGGGAAAAAAACAUUGCUGGAAAGGUCACCAGGCACUGUGGUGGCAUGGAAAGAUGUUCUCCUGAGGUCUCCCUACCUCCACAAUCCCUUUUGUUGGAAUGCAUGAAGUAGCCAUCUUCACACAGGCAACGGAAGCUCCCAGGGAAAUUGGAACAGCGCUGGCUGCAGCCUCCAUUGAAGUCUUCACAUUCAUUUAUGUCUAUAAAGAAAAGGGAAUCAAACUCUCUGCUGACAGGAGGGCAUCAACUGACCAGCUGCAAAUACUAUUCAACAGUAGAAAUGUAGUUGUGCUUCUGAGAACCAGCAUGCCAUGAAAUUGAAGACUGUACCUUCCUCACAGUUCUCUCCUCUCCACCCUGCUUUACAGACACAGGUCUUGAAAUAGGAAAAGUCUUGAUGUAUAACAUGAAGCAUCCCCACAACAAUCUUGCAACUCAUUCUGUCAGCAAAAAUUUUUAAGUGAGUGAGAACAUACAAAGCCACCAGUACUUCUUCUUUUUCAGGCAGAAAAUAACUAGAAGACAAAUUACUUGUUAAGAACAGUGAAGACCAAGACAAAGGUGAGAGUGCUAUCCUGGGAAUAUCAAGGCAGACCAUCUAUAAAUACAUCCACAUUUUACAAGUGACUUUUAACAAGUGGUGACCAUUGAGAAGUGACACUAAAAAUGAAAAGAUGUCUGCUUCAAUGUUCUCUGCAGAGCACACAACACUCCAGGAACAGCCUCUAAAUUAGACUGCCUGGUUUCAUUUUUGGAAUAUAGCUUGUGAUCAAGAGAAAAAUGGAUGAGCACAGCUGGAAGAAGUCCAGCUGACUGGGUGAAAGAGUGCAGAUGACAGAUGUUGACUGGAGAGCACCACACUUUGCUUUCCUCAGCCUGUGCUCAACUUGACCUGUCAGAGCUGCCCAGCUGUGUGCGGGCUGACACCUGCAGCGCACACCAGCUCUGGUGGCCGUGCAUAUUCAUCCCAGCGCCACAGAAAUGAGCCACUCAAGCACACACAGUCCAUCCAGCACUGCCUGUGACAAUUCCUCAAAACCAGAGGAAUAACCAAGUGCCAGAGAAGAGCUCCCAGCUUCGCUGCACUAACAGGAAAGAAAAAACUCAAAGAAGCUGACUAGAAAGAGCAGCUAAUGAGGCCCAGAGCAUCAGAGGAGACAGAUUUAACAUUUAACUAAAACCACAGCAUCCCAAACACAUUAAAGGCCUCUACUGAGUGACAGGGAACAUUCUGAAGCGCUUCAACGUUGGGCAAUGACCUGAAGAAACCUUUGUGUUACAGCCUCCUGAGUGAAUCUGACAUGGGCUGAGCUUGUAACUACAAACUAAUCUAUUUGCUUUCAUUCUGGUAAAACUAAUCAUCCUGGUAAGGCUGUAAAUAAGAUUUCCUGAGCAUAAGGUGGAGGUACAGCUCACCUCCAAGGUUUUACAGCACACCUCUACCUCAGAGAGAAACAAACAAGAUGCUUAGAAAUGAAAUAAGUUCAAUUAAUUAGACUAAAUGCUUUAUUUCUCACUGAUAAAAAAGAUGCAGAAAGACCAUGUGUCCUGAGGCAAAAGGAGUGACAACAGAAAUAGGAGAAUUGUGUAUUAUAGCUGCUGGGUUUAUUUCCAUGGGAGAUCUCUACCCCCCACAAAGAUGUUGACCUUUAGCUACAUCAUUGUCAUUUUCACACAGUUUUACAGUAAAUAAAAGACAAGAAAUUUUCAGUUGUGUACAAACAGAUGUAACACUUUCUACUUCAUGUUUUCAGUACAGUGGAGCAAUGGGAACAAGUAUUUUUCCCUACAUCAGAGCAGUUCAUCCUUCUCCCAAGCUGAUUUCCUGUAACUUCUGACUUUAAAUAAAACACGUAACUCAGAGCAAAUUCCAUGUUUUUUCAGUGCAAAUAUUUCAAUCCCCAUGCACAGAAUUAGCAGUGUAUUUAUUCAUGUGUGUUUUCAUUACAAAGAUUAUGAUAGGACCUUUAUUAAAAACAAAAAAUCCUGACUGCUGCCAGUCUGAUUACAGGAAACUCCAGCCCCUUUCUGACCCUGCCAAACCAAGUUAACCCUUAAUGCACUCGGGCUGCUUCAUGCGGUGAUCACUGAAACCUUGUGCAACUCCAGAGCCUAACAAUUUCCAGAGGUGGUGCACAGCCACUGUGUAGUGAAUGCUUACCAAGCAUCUAAAAGUGAUGCUGCUAAAAAAGAAAAAAUAAAUUGUGGGAGAGGAUGAGAUUCAGUGGUUUCUUACAGCUGUUCUGUCAUGCAGAUGUCACCAUAAACCUGCUUAAAGUGGGCCACUUAAACAUAACUUAGAGCUGCUUACCUAAAACCUCAGCCAAGGAAAGCACUUGAAUAAAACUGAAUGAAAAUCUUGUUUGCACAGCUCUGUAAUUUCAGUGACAAGACUAUCCUGAAAAGCUCCUCAGUGACAUUGUGCAGCCAACAAAAUAAAAUUGGCCACUAAUAUUUACCUGCACCUUUUCCAAAAUAUGUCCCUGACCUGAUGUCUGACCAAACCCACCUGCACGGAGGCUUGCAGAGACAACUUUAUGGUUAUUGAACAGUAUGAGCUGCAUUUUUAA